This 264-nucleotide ribosomal RNA is filed under the name uncultured archaeon. RNAcentral describes it as "partial 16S ribosomal RNA". It matches the Rfam family "Archaeal small subunit ribosomal RNA", at positions 716 to 982 of the family's 1478-position model. The record is from RNAcentral.
AGUCACUGACAUUAGAUACCCGCGUAGUCCAGGGUGUAAACGCUGCAGACUUGGUGUUGGAAGUCCUUUGGGGGCAUUCAGUGCCGGAGAGAAGUUGUUAAGUCUGCUACUUGGGAGUACGUCCGCAAGGAUGAAACUUAAAGGAAUUGGCGGGGGAGCACCGCAACGGGAGGAGCGUGCGGUUUAAUUGGAUUCAACACCGUAAAACUCACCAGGGAAGACUGUUACAUGAAGGCCGAGAUGAAGACUCUGCUAGAUUUUCAG